This 1506-nucleotide ribosomal RNA is filed under the name Campylobacter jejuni. RNAcentral's name for it is "partial 23S ribosomal RNA". It matches the Rfam family "Bacterial large subunit ribosomal RNA", at positions 1437 to 2925 of the family's 2925-position model. The record is from RNAcentral. Lineage: Bacteria; Pseudomonadati; Campylobacterota; Epsilonproteobacteria; Campylobacterales; Campylobacteraceae.
UCCAAUACCAACAUUAGUGUGCGAUGGAAGGACGCUUAGGGCUAAGGGGGCUAGCGGAUGGAAGUGCUAGUCUAAGGUCGUAGGAGGUUAUACAGGCAAAUCCGUAUAACAAUACUCCGAGAACUGAAAGGCUUUUUGAAGUCUUCGGAUGGAUAGAAGAACCCCUGAUGCCGUCGAGCCAAGAAAAGUUUCUAAGUUUAGCUAAUGUUGCCCGUACCGUAAACCGACACAGGUGGGUGGGAUGAGUAUUCUAAGGCGCGUGGAAGAACUCUCUUUAAGGAACUCUGCAAAAUAGCACCGUAUCUUCGGUAUAAGGUGUGGUUCGCUUCGUACUAGGAUUUACUCCGAAAGCGAAGAAACUUACAACAAAGAGUCCCUCCCGACUGUUUACCAAAAACACAGCACUCUGCUAACUCGUAAGAGGAUGUAUAGGGUGUGACGCCUGCCCGGUGCUCGAAGGUUAAUUGAUGGGGUUAGCAUUAGCGAAGCUCUUGAUCGAAGCCCGAGUAAACGGCGGCCGUAACUAUAACGGUCCUAAGGUAGCGAAAUUCCUUGUCGGUUAAAUACCGACCUGCAUGAAUGGCGUAACGAGAUGGGAGCUGUCUCAAAGAGGGAUCCAGUGAAAUUGUAGUGGAGGUGAAAAUUCCUCCUACCCGCGGCAAGACGGAAAGACCCCGUGGACCUUUACUACAGCUUGACACUGCUACUUGGAUAAGAAUGUGCAGGAUAGGUGGGAGGCUUUGAGUAUAUGACGCCAGUUGUAUAUGAGCCAUUGUUGAGAUACCACUCUUUCUUAUUUGGGUAGCUAACCAGCUUGAGUUAUCCUCAAGUGGGACAAUGUCUGGUGGGUAGUUUGACUGGGGCGGUCGCCUCCCAAAUAAUAACGGAGGCUUACAAAGGUUGGCUCAGAACGGUUGGAAAUCGUUCGUAGAGUAUAAAGGUAUAAGCCAGCUUAACUGCAAGACAUACAAGUCAAGCAGAGACGAAAGUCGGUCUUAGUGAUCCGGUGGUUCUGUGUGGAAGGGCCAUCGCUCAAAGGAUAAAAGGUACCCCGGGGAUAACAGGCUGAUCUCCCCCAAGAGCUCACAUCGACGGGGAGGUUUGGCACCUCGAUGUCGGCUCAUCGCAUCCUGGGGCUGGAGCAGGUCCCAAGGGUAUGGCUGUUCGCCAUUUAAAGCGGUACGCGAGCUGGGUUCAGAACGUCGUGAGACAGUUCGGUCCCUAUCUGCCGUGGGCGUAAGAAGAUUGAAGAGAUUUGACCCUAGUACGAGAGGACCGGGUUGAACAAACCACUGGUGUAGCUGUUGUUCUGCCAAGAGCAUCGCAGCGUAGCUAAGUUUGGAAAGGAUAAACGCUGAAAGCAUCUAAGCGUGAAGCCAACUCUAAGAUGAAUCUUCUCUAAGCUCUCUAGAAGACUACUAGUUUGAUAGGCUGGGUGUGUAAUGGAUGAAAGUCCUUUAGCUGACCAGUACUAAUAGAGCGUUUGGCUUAUCUUUAAUAAAGCAU